UAGUGGCGCACGGGUGCGUAACACGUAACUAACCUACCUAUAACUGGGGGAUAGCCCGCCGAAAGGCGGAUUAAUACCGCAUAAGCUGCUUGAGUGGCAUCACUCGAAUAGUAAAGAUUUAUUGGUUAUAGAUGGGGUUGCGGGUCAUUAGCUAGUUGGUAAGGUAACGGCUUACCAAGGCGACGAUGACUAGGGGAGCUGAGAGGCUGGUCCCCCACACGGGCACUGAGAUACGGGCCCGACUCCUACGGGAGGCAGCAGUAGGGAAUAUUGGGCAAUGGGCGAGAGCCUGACCCAGCCAUGCCGCGUGCAGGAAGAAGGCUUUCUGAGUCGUAAACUGCUUUUGACAGGGAAGAAUAAGCACUACGUGUAGUGCGAUGACGGUACCUGCAGAAUAAGCACCGGCUAACUCCGUGCCAGCAGCCGCGGUAAUACGGAGGGUGCGAGCGUUGUCCGGAUUUAUUGGGUUUAAAGGGUGCGUAGGCGGCCCGUUAAGUCCGGGGUGAAAGCCCGUUGCUCAACAACGGAACUGCCCUGGAUACUGACGGGCUUGAGUACAGACGAGGUUGGCGGAAUGGACCGAGUAGCGGUGAAAUGCAUAGAUACGGUCCAGAAC
RNAcentral lists this ribosomal RNA (616 nucleotides) under uncultured bacterium. Its description in RNAcentral is "bacterial SSU rRNA". It matches the Rfam family "Bacterial small subunit ribosomal RNA", at positions 93 to 707 of the family's 1533-position model. The record is from RNAcentral.